Long non-coding RNA from Cygnus olor (mute swan), 1101 nucleotides. RefSeq lists it as uncharacterized. The transcript is spliced from 3 exons. The record is from RefSeq and is a predicted model, not a curated record. Lineage: Eukaryota; Metazoa; Chordata; Aves; Anseriformes; Anatidae.
GGCCGCCAGGUGCAGCCUGGUGGUCCGGGAAGGUAUAUAAAACCAUUCAUGAUUCAGAAACCUUCCAGCAGGUUCUCUUCGCUUCUCCACGGUGAACUGAGCCUACAGCACGGCUAAACGAUGUCCUGUGAGAAAACUGUGUGCGCUGAGCCAUGCGCUGCUCCGUGCAAUGUGAAAUGCCCUGAGCCCCGUGCCGCCGCCUGCAAUGAGCCCUGCGUAGUUGCCUGCCCUGACUCCCGCGUCAUCAUCUACCCUCCUCCUGUGGUCGUCACCUUCCCAGGACCCAUCCUCACCACCUACCCGCAGGAUACUGUCGUGGGCUCCACGGAAUCAGCUGAGCUGGCCACGGUCAUCGAGUCGGGCGUACCCAUCGGUUCAACGCAGAAGGGUGCUGAGUGUGUGCUGCCCUGCGCUGAGCCGUGUGCCCCGAAGCUUGUGACGAAAUGUGAGCCCCAGUGUGUGCCCCAGUGUGUGCCCCAGUGCGUGACCCAGUGUGCGCCCCCAUGCCCGCCCCCAUGCCCACCCCCAUGUGAUCCUCCAUGCGUGCCCCAGUGCGCACCAGAGUGCUCCUACACCUAUUCCACCCGCUGGAAGCAUCCUUGCCAGAGGGGCUUCUGCAAGAAGCUCUGAUCAGCCAAAAGCAGAGUAUAAUCACAGGGAAAGAACAAGCAAAGAAGUGAAAGGAUAUGGCGCAUGAUUUACAGGCAUGGCUUUCAGGGUUCUUCCUACUAUAGAGGGAAGCACUCUGAAAAUCAGGACCCUAUUUCUAAUUCCCAUAUAGUGCUUUAGCUUAGAUUAGUGCUCUCUUUAUCCUUGUGGCUUUGCAUCUUACAUCUGCGCUUUUAACUUUCUCUACCCAGUUUGACUUCGACCAUGAUUUAAAAAAUAAAUAAAAGAUUAAAGCACACAAAGAGAUUUAAAUGUCAGACUCAACAAGAAUCUCAGGAAAGUGAACAUCUCAAUGAAAUGCAUCACACUGGAAUGGGUGACUGGUUUUAGUUUUCUUGUCUCUAGAAAUAUAUUCCUUUUAGACUGCAUUAUUCUUUCUGCAAAUGUUUACUCCACUUUACAUUUACAUUAAAAGGCUGCUGCAUUAAACCA